GCUUGUACAAGCGACAUUCCGAUCACACAACUCUUAUUGUUGCGCCAAGACUCUCUUCAACCAAAUCAUUAAUUUCCUAUCCGCCGCCCAAAUUAUGAAAAUAGCAAACAAAAGGGGAAAUAAUUGCCAAUCAAGAUCCAUAAAUUAGUUUCUAUAUAAAUACAGUUUUAGUCCAUAUGCUGAUGAAAUUGUGAUGUUUUUUUAUCAUAUGCCCUUGAUUAUGUGUCAUAUUUUCUGGAUGAAACUUAAGAUUUUAGAAUGGCAACUCUGAAUUCCUAUACACACUCUUUUUGGGACUUAACAGGAUAAGGCACCAUUGCUAUCUCUUACAGCACUGCAUCAUCUACAUACCUUUAUCUUCGUGCUGGCCAUUUCACAUGUUACUUUCUCAGCUCUUACAAUUUUAUUUGAAGGUUUAAAGAUACGUCAGUGGAAAUCUUGGGAGGAAUAUAAUCCAGAAGAAGUACUUCGCUCGAAAGUUACACAUGUCCAAGACCAUGAUUUUUCCAAGAGCCGGUUUCUAGGUUUUGCGUUCUUUCGUCAAGCAAUUCUUUGGAUCUGUCACAAAAUUGGACUAUACAACUUUGAGGCUUGGCUUCAUUAUGAUUCAUUGCAAGGGGAAUCCAAAGUUCAAUUUUCACAAGUAUAUGAUACGCGUACUUGAGGCUGAUUUUAAGAAAGUUGUUGGGAUUAGGUAACACAAUGCUUACAAUUUUGUUCAACAAUAGUUACUGAGUGAACAAAAUUGAAAUAAAACAAGGAAGCAUGUAUUAGUCAAUCUGAUGUUACUGUUAGAUUUCUCGUCUCUCCUCUUAGAGGUUACUCAUGUGUUUA
This is a long non-coding RNA of Capsicum annuum, 834 nucleotides long. RefSeq lists it as uncharacterized. The record is from RefSeq and is a predicted model, not a curated record. The transcript has 5 exons. NCBI's taxonomy places the organism in Eukaryota, Viridiplantae, Streptophyta, Magnoliopsida, Solanales, Solanaceae.